Molecule: small RNA, 841 nt
Filed under: Pongo abelii (Sumatran orangutan)
Lineage: Eukaryota; Metazoa; Chordata; Mammalia; Primates; Hominidae
Description: retained intron
Source: RNAcentral
GUGUCUCAAUCAGGACAGUCUGAAGAAGGAAAUUCUAAUAGCAUCAUUGCUUUGAUCCUUCUCCCACCCUCCCCCAUGAGUUUAAAUUACUGCUAGAGGGAGGCAUUCUAAUCUUCACAUAGAAGUGCUGCUUGAGUAAUGUCUCAGCUUGGAAGUAUGAUGGACUGCCAUUCAUCUAAAAUCAAGUUGUUAAAGUGGUAAAUUUUUCUUCAUAUAGGCUUUUUUUAUAUAUUAAGUGUUUUCUUGUAAAAUAUGUGUAUCUCUGUCUUCUUAAUGGGAGUAAUGAAGCAAUUUAAAUUUAAAACUUUUUUUUUUCAUUGAAGGGAUGAGUCCACUAUACAGUUUUGUAAAUUGCGCUAACAGGCAUAUUUGGGAAUUUUGUUUGGGGGGUGUGUGUGUGUGAACUCUUAGGCAGAGGAAUUCCACUCGGUGGUACAUGCCCUCUUGGAGUGGCUGGCUGAGGCGGAGCAAACCCUGCGUUUCCAUGGUGUCCUCCCAGAUGAUGAGGAUGCUCUCCGGACUCUCAUUGAUCAGCAUAAAGAAUUCAUGAAGAAACUGGAAGAAAAGAGAGCUGAACUAAAUAAAGCCACCACUAUGGGCGACACCGUUUUGGCUAUCUGCCACCCCGACUCCAUCACUACCAUUAAGCACUGGAUAACAAUCAUCCGGGCGAGGUUUGAGGAGGUGCUGGCCUGGGCAAAGCAACAUCAGCAGAGAUUAGCAAGUGCUCUGGCUGGGCUUAUUGCCAAACAGGAAUUGUUGGAAGCUUUGCUGGCUUGGUUGCAAUGGGCUGAAACUACACUUACUGAAAAGGAUAAAGAAGUCAUCCCUCAGGAGAUCG